RNAcentral lists this long non-coding RNA (1044 nucleotides) under Malus domestica (apple). Its description in RNAcentral is "long non-coding RNA (MDOM_LNC003875)". The record is from RNAcentral. Lineage: Eukaryota; Viridiplantae; Streptophyta; Magnoliopsida; Rosales; Rosaceae.
GGAAUUUCACCCUACUUGUAACUACAGUCAAACAAACUCACCAGCUCAUAAUAUCAAACAUGGGACCUCCCAUAUUUUUUUUUAUUAGAAAGUCGUAGUCCACGCUCUUACCAAUGGACCACUUUCUGUUUUGGAGUCCAAAGGUUUUGUUUACAAGUGGGAAGUAUUCUUUUUUUCUUUUGGGGUCCAAAGGUUUUGUCUCCAAAUGCCUAAAUUUGCUCAAUCUCUUCAUAAUAUUCUAAAGGGUAGUUCUAUUCACCGCUUAUUUUUAUUUUUCACAUAAUUUUUCAAUUUUCAACUGUCAAAUAAAAUGAAUUGAAAAUAAAUUAAUAACAAAAAAUUAACAAGGAUGUGUGGCAGGUAAAAAAUAGGUGUAUGAAUAGCACUAUCUUAUUCUAAAAUUUGCUUCCAUUAAUGAAAUACAAAUCUCUUUGAUAAAGGGGGAAAAAAUUUAAAAAAAAAUGACACUAAUUAACCAUUCAAAAGUGUUGUUGGAGUGGUACAUGGGUAAUAAUGGAGAAAAUAUUACAUUUGUAACAACAUUAUGAUCAUAUAACAUGCCAAUAUGGUAUUAUAAAAUUGUCUAAAUUUUAAUACAUGUGCAAUCAUAAUACUAAACUCGAUCGUAGACGCUUUAAGCUCAAAACACUAAACUUAACUAUAACACUCUAAACUCAACGCGUAUAAUAAUUUGACUAAAUUUGGCACAAAACGCAUCUCUCUACAUUCACAUUUAUUUUUGGUACUAGCUAGCUUUUAGGAUUUAUGUUUAUAGUCAACCAACAUCUGUCUCCUAUUGUAAUUAAGAUUUGUGUUUAUAUUCAUUACAAAGUGAACUAUAAUUCAUGUAUUUAUAUUGAUAAAAAAUAAUUAGUGUAUUCCAAACAGAUUUACUUUUCCAACAGCAUUAAUCUCCAACCAUCGCCAGUAAUGCUGGAAAAAGCUUCUGGGAGACCGUUUCCUCGAGAGCGGUUGGAUUCCAUUGCAGUGAUCUCUCUCUCUCUCUCUCUCUCUCUCUCUCUCGCUCUCUCUCUCUCUCUCAGU